This 1372-nucleotide unclassified non-coding RNA is filed under the name Hevea brasiliensis (rubber tree). Lineage: Eukaryota; Viridiplantae; Streptophyta; Magnoliopsida; Malpighiales; Euphorbiaceae. The record is from RNAcentral.
ACCAGAUACCUUUGGUGUUCAUUGCAAUGCUUUCAAAUAUAGUAAUGAGAAAUUUUCAAUUUUAAAAUAAAAUGUCCUAUUCUAAACUUUGCCUAGUCCUAGUUGUGGUAUUAACCAGAUAUACUGUGGCUUGUAUCAAAUAAGCAAAUAGAAAAUGCAAAUACAGGCAAAUUCAAGGAUAAUUUACAUAUUUUCUUCUGUAAAAUAUCAAUCUACAGAACAAUGAAAACAGUAAACCAGCUACGCCUGUUGGCCUUCCAUCUCAGUUACACCCUCUAUCUGAAGAAACUCCAUGGGCACAAGCACAACAAUUGCAUUGCUAGCAAGGCUUCUGCCACUAGAUUCUCAAUUUUACAUCUAUGACCUUGGCAUGCAACUCGCAAAAGGUAGACAUGCGCCAUGUUUGCCUUUGAGAAACAAUAAGCACCAUCUUCUCCUAGAGGAGAAAACUCUCUGACUGAAUGCUAACCCUCAACCGACUAGCUGUCCAACAUAUUAUGUAGACGGCAAGUUCUUUUCCUCACAGCAAAUGUUACCAAGUUUUGCUAAAGAAUAAUCUAUAAAUUUAACAAAAUCUUCAAGAGUACGGAUGGAAGAACUAUAGCCCAAAAUAUCAACUACCAAAGCUUUCUUUGGAUCUUUAUUCCAAAUCUGCUGCUCAUUUAUCAUCCCAUAAACUCUGCCCACAUCAAUGCACAGUUUAAGAAACUCAGGUUCAUCUUCUAAGGUGUCCUUCAAAUCCAAGAAGAAGCCAUGAUUUCCAAUAACAACUCCAGUGGAUUUCAUUUUCAGUGCAAUUUUCUGUAUAGAUGCUAAAUUAAAAAUUAAAUUUCGAGUAACUUUGGAGCAACUCCUGAGUGAAAUUUCAUUGUCUCUGGGUUGGAAGUAGAGUUGGACAAUGUUAGCCAAGAAGAAACGUGCUAGGAAGAUAUAAAAAUCAACAAAGUUCAUGCCUGGUAGAAAACAACCAAUCAGUAAAUAUCACAGUUUGUAUAAUCUCUUGCAACAGCUACCAGGCUACCAGCCACUAAUCAAGUGCUUUUCAAAGAUAAAAAUCUCAGCAUUUUCCCUCCACUUUAAAAAAUCUCAUGUAAGAGGGAAGGGCAGCUUUUCUGGGAGUCAUUAUGCAUCGUAUGAUGAAAGAUCAGUCCACUGAUUCUACUCCCAAUUCUGAAAGGCAAUAUGGGGAUUUCAUUUGUACCUAUACUUUCUUCAAUCAUUUUUGUGAAGUCCAGCCUACAGGUGACAAUGGAAUUAUACGUAGAGGCAAUCAGAUAAUCAGAACUCUAAAUUUACUAGUGGUAUUAUUUUAUUUCAUUGGGUUUGCACUUACUUGGCUGGACUUAUUUAGGGGUGAGCAUUCGGUUCAAAC